This 503-nucleotide unclassified non-coding RNA is filed under the name Hevea brasiliensis (rubber tree). Lineage: Eukaryota; Viridiplantae; Streptophyta; Magnoliopsida; Malpighiales; Euphorbiaceae. The record is from RNAcentral.
CAAACGCAAACAACUCGGCUUCACAAUUUAUUAAAUUCACACAGAAACAAACAAUUGAUAACAAGACUAGAAAAAAAAAGUCUGCAACUUUUUCAACCAUGGAGUUAGUAGUACUGCAAUACUGUACAAAAAAGCUAGGAAACGAAGCGAAUGAGCGCGAAUACAGAAGAAGAUAGGAAGAAAUAAGGAAAGUUUAUGCCCCUAUGGGAGCUUUUCGACUGCAGAAACUCACUCAAAUUAGUAAUUGAAAAUGCAUAGCAAGACAAUAUCUCACAGGCCACAUAUAGGCCAUAAUAACAUGUAGUAUGUCUUAUUUAAAGAGACGAACAUUAGAACACUGUAAAGCCAGCUGAAGUCUUCGAUACUGUACCUAGUUUACUUCCACUUCUUGAAUUUACCUCCGAACAUCCCUCCCUUGCCAUGCUUAAACUUGCCGUGCUUUCCAUGUUUGAAUUUCCCUCCCUUGCCAUGCUUAAACUUGCCGUGCUUUCCAUGUUUGAAUU